GACGAACGCUGGCGGCGUGCUUAACACAUGCAAGUCGAACGGAAAGGCCUCUUUCGGGGGGUACUCGAGUGGCGAACGGGUGAGUAACACGUGAGUAACCUGCCCUUCACUUUGGGAUAACUUCAGAAAACUGGGGCUAAUACCGGAUAGGAGCUCCUGCUGCAUGGUGGGGGUUGGAAAGUUUCGGCGGUUGGGGAUGGACUCGCGGCUUAUCAGCUUGUUGGUGGGGUAGUGGCUUACCAAGGCUUUGACGGGUAGCCGGCCUGAGAGGGUGACCGGCCACAUUGGGACUGAGAUACGGCCCAGACCCCGACGGGAGGCAGCAGUGGGGAAGAGUGCACAAGGGGUGGAAGCCUGAUGCAGAAACGCCGUGGGCGGGAGGACGGUCUUCGGGUUGGAAACCGAUUUCGCUCAUGACGAAGCUUUGUGUGACGGUAGUGGGUAAAGAAGCACCGGCUAACUACGUG
Molecule: ribosomal RNA, 467 nt
Filed under: uncultured bacterium
Lineage: Bacteria
Description: partial 16S ribosomal RNA
Rfam family: Bacterial small subunit ribosomal RNA
Source: RNAcentral